RNAcentral lists this transfer RNA (68 nucleotides) under Ruditapes philippinarum (Manila clam). Its description in RNAcentral is "tRNA-Gln". The record is from RNAcentral. Lineage: Eukaryota; Metazoa; Mollusca; Bivalvia; Venerida; Veneridae.
AACAGGGUAGUGUAAAGUGCACAUAGGGUUUUGAUCCCUAAAGAAACUAUUCAAAUGGUUUCUUGUUA